Molecule: long non-coding RNA, 9627 nt
Organism: Bacillus rossius redtenbacheri
Lineage: Eukaryota; Metazoa; Arthropoda; Insecta; Phasmatodea; Bacillidae
Exons: 6
Source: RefSeq, a predicted model, not a curated record
CCCUUUGUCGCGAGAAAUUAAUGCACUCUGGCAAGCAAGUGUCCACAAGCAAUCUCAUUAAACUGGAAGUAUGGAGAUUUAAAAUCAAGAAUAUUCUACUCGUAAUUCUUUGAUUAUCACCUAGUAUACCGAUAUAUCUCGAAGUUUCUAUCACCUUGCGUUUCUACAUUUUAUAGCUGGUGUCUAUGAUUUUGUGUUUUGCCGCUUUAGCAGUCGUUUCAAUGAUUAGUCAAAUGUUCCUCUUUUAGUUUAUGCCUUACAAAAAUAUCACUAUAAAAGUUAUUUUGUUGUGUAAAUAAUUGUGUGUGUAAGUUUUUCAAUAAUAUUUUACAGUACAAGUUUGAGUGCUGCGUUUUGUAUUGCAUUUUUUAUUGGAUUUGGCCAAGCCAACAUGAAGAUUGCAUCAUUAUUUCUUAGUGUUGCUAUUACAUGCAGUGUUCACUAUGUGAGGGCUGUAGCAGCAGAUCAAGAUCGACUGUUUAACAUGUGCAUAGAUAGCAAACAUCACAAAAGCAAACCAGGUCCUGAAGCAGAACUUUUUCAGCAGUGUACACCGUGGAAGGAUCGCUCUUGUUGCACCCACAACACCACACAGCAUGCCCAUUAUGGCAGCUUGUACAAUUUUAAUUUCAAUCAUUGUGGACAUGUAAAAAAUUUAUCUCAAGACUGCAGAAGGCAUUUCAUUCAAGAUCAGUGUUUCUACGAAUGCUCUCCAAAUGUUGGUCCCUGGGUUGUGAAGGUGCAAAUGAAGAUUCGCAAUGAAAGGUUUUUUAACGUGCCUCUGUGCCAGGAAGACUGUGAUUCCUGGUUCAAUGCAUGCUUGGAUGAGUACACAUGUACAGAUAACUGGGGAAGAAAUUUCAACUGGACAAAGGAAGGCAACUCCUGCUUGAAAGGAACAGAAUGCAGGACGUUCAGAGAAGUUUAUGAAACUGCCAGCCAUUUCUGUGAGAAGGGCACGUCAUUUCUCCCUGCAAGAUGAGACCACAGUGAUUACUUGUUGAGUCAAAUCACAUACCCGAUUACACAUGGUGGGCCGCUGGAUUGGCCAUUUCUACCUACCCUGUUUAUGUAGAUGGUGAACAAGAAUGCAUGAAGGUUUGGGAUCACUCUUGGAAAGUUGUGCCCAAUGACCAACCAUGCAUGAGGAUAUGGUUUGAUGGCUCACAUGGUAAUCCAAAUGACAAUGUGGCCAAGUUGAAGGCUGAAGAACUAACUAGAAAUUACCAUAAUUCUGGGUGUAAAAUUUAUGUAAAUUUCACCAGUUUUGUAUUACAACUCAUAAUUCUAGAGUUUACAUUCUUGCUGGCAUAGAUUCAAGAAAGCAAUAAGUAUGAGUAUGGUAGCAUGCAAAUUAAAGCUGGGGGUAGUACGUAUUGGGCUGUUCAUAGUUCCUUAUAAAUAUGGUCAUGUGAAGUGUGGGCAACUAGAAAAAUAAUUUUUUGGGUAUUAGUUUAUAGUGGAAUUUAUAAUCACCUGACCACAGUAACACCUCAACUUACAUUUUUGGCAUUUAAGUAAUUUAUAUUUUGUGGAAGUUAAAUUAUUGAUCACUUCCCUUCUUAAAAACUGCAAGUUAAGAUGAUUUUCAUAUUUACUUGUGUUAAGAUGUCAUUAUUAAAUGCUAAUUUUGUUGAUCCUUAGAGUUUCUGAAAGGUAAAGUUUCCUUCAAUUUUUUUUGUAACAAAUGAAUUAUAAUAAUGGUAUAUUAGUUCUGUUUAUUAGUUAAAUAUCCCCACAAUGAUGAAAUUCGUGUUUUGUGCAUAUUAUGAUAGUCUACCUUGCGAUUAUUUAGCUGCUUCAACCUUAGAUAUUGAGAGGUUGGUCUUUGACAUAAAAAGUGAUCUACGUAUGUUAGGGGUCUCUAAACUUUUUAGUCUAAGGGCCACACUGACUCCUCUACUAAGUCCAAAAAGCAAAGACCUAGCUACCUCAUCAUACCAACAUACUGUCAAAGUAUGGUGGGCCGGAUAAUGGGCAAGUCCGGUCCGGCCUGCUGCCGUGGGUCGUAGUGGAGACCCCUGCUCUUUGUCCUAAAAUAAACAGAAGACACAUAUCUCAUCUUAAUGUGACAGUUGACAUGCUCCCCUUGUUUCUUGUUCUAGUUUUUAAUUAUCAACUUCUGUGCAUUAGCCCUUAUCUUAUUAUUCUUUCUUUCAUUCGCUACAUUUAUUCAAAAAAUAUGUAUGUUUGUUCUGGCAGAGCAUAUUUGUUCUUUUGCAUAUACUUGCAUAUAGCAUAAAAUAUAAGAUUUAUUUUAUGUGCUCAUGACUGUAGCUCAAAUUCUCACUAUGAAUGAUGAAAUGAAACAUUUGUGUAGUAAUGAAAAAUAAUUGAUCUUGUUAUUUGUUAAUAUUAUAUUCAAUAAAGGCAGAGAUAUGCACAUGCGCAGAGAAAGAUAGACAGAAAUGGACAAAGUUCCACUAAAUUCUGGGAAAAGCAGGAUCCUGUAUCAGAAUUACAUAACAGAAUGCCAUGAAUGCCUCAUAUUUACGUUUCACACUGGGGAAAAAAAAGCCUACCCUAUUAGAGCAGCACUUGUUUUACUGCAAAUAAAACCAUGGGACAUAAGGCAAUUUUAAAACCUCUGCCACAGAAGAAUAAGACAUUUGUUGAUGAAUAUUAAGUUCUUUUUAUUCAUGUGUUUUGAUAGAAAUGUGGUAUUCUCUUAAGCCCUGACUUAGAAACCCGUCUAGUUAUGUUGCUUUGGAAAAAUCUAUAGGCUAAAGAUUUUUUUUUUAGUUUUGGCAUUAUUCUAGCAGUAAAUAAUUGACAGCUGAAACAUCAAUUUGUGCAGACAGGAAACUACGUGAGGCAGUAAGCGAAACUGCAGAGUACUGUCUGCAGCUACUGCUGCUUGGGUUUACAUGCACAGCCAGGGGCAGUCCAAGAUUCGACAAGCCCAGAGACCGCCCAGCACCUUCAGAAAAAUACAGACUUUAAUAGUAAAAGUAAGAAUUGAAUUGUUAUUAGCAUGUAAUUUAAAGUGCCGAUUGGUUUCUAUCGAGUUUUCAAGAUUUUUUAUUAGAAAAACAUUUAAAGAUUUUAUUGCCCUAUAAUGUUGCACUUUAUUAAGAUUUAUUUAUUUAUUUAUUACUUUAGUAAGAAUAACAAAAUUUCUUAUGAUAAGUUAUCAAAACCAUAAUUGAAAUUUAAGUUCCAGGUUGGUUUAAAAUGUGGUUUUAAAGAGUAUUUUUUCUCCCAAAUUUUCAUGGGAAAUGCCCCUGAAACCCCAUUUUCCCUGGCGGCUAUUCCAUAGCCUAUUCCUCUCCUGGAGCUCCCAGUAAUUUUCCUCUCCAAAAUAUUAGACCUUGCUAAAGUUCUUGGUCCAGGGUCCUGCAAAGUCUAGGGCUGCCACAGUGCACAGCCACAGGCACAUUCAUGUAGUUAGUGCCUUCACAGACGCCUUUGUGGCAGUGAGCAUUUAAGCUAACUGCGGAUAUAAGUCACGUGCCAUGCAACUUGGGGUGUUACUGCUCAUUAUUUGCCAAGCUUGUGUUCAAGAAGUCAUGUUCACUUAUUUGUUGUUUGGGUGGUAUUCUAUAAACUAUUAAAUUGGCGAUGUAAUUUUUUUUCAUUGAUUUUGUUGUUGUCAUAACUGUCAUAGUUUCAGUUAGUUGUUUUAGUAUUUUUGUAUUUUUAGCAACAUAUAGGACUCUUGUUAUUAGAACUGCUGACAAUGAUACGACCAUAACUUUAAGUACUUGCGUAUUUUGAUAAACGGGUGUUACACACUUCAAUUAUGCCUGAUUAGAGAUUUUGCUGGAUUAUUAAACCUUAAUAUAGUUUUAACAGGAAUACCAAAUAAAAAUUAGUAUACACUAUUAUGGUAUUUAAAACAAGUUGUAAUAAGCUGAUCUAUUGAAGAAAAAAAUGUGUGUGUGGAAUCCACUUGUAACAGAAGUGAAACUUCUUGCUUAUUAUAUUAUUAGGUAUAGGAAACAUAAUUCUCUUUGGCUGAGGACACAGAUAAAUGUGUGUGUGUGCAAGUAUGUGAGAGCUAAUUUAUGCUAUUGUGCAAGUAUGCUGCGUCAUUUCUACCUCUCCCCUCCACCUCUACCGGUUCCUCCACCACGUACCUAACUAUUCCCCUUAUGCAAUCGGAAUUUUCGUAACGCUAAAAAAUUGUAGCCCCCUCAGCAAAGAAGUUUCACUUCAAAAAAUACAGAUAAUACAGAUAACCUUUACUGUUUAGAAAGGUCUUUGCAAUAAUGUUGUCUGCGAUUCAGAUCUCUUCUUCUGAAAAUCAUUACGGAAAUGUAAAAUGUAAUCUGCUAGAAAACAGGAAUCACUGUAAUGAAAUGAAAAUGGACAGUAAAGAUAAACUCUGAGCUAACUAAAAACAUUGGCAUUUCACUAAAAUGACAUGGCGGCCAAGGUUAACCAUCUGAACGAAAACUGAUCAAUUGGUGCUGGAUCGCAGAAUGUGCUGCUCCAUAGAAUGUUGCAUUAAAGACUUUCCACUGUACAUUACUUAGAACAGCACCAUUCACUCUGCAUUGUAGUAAUGAGACAGUGGUCACUACUAUUCGCAUUGUUUAUCUAGCAGAGUUCACGACGACUUUGUUAACUUGUGUUGCCAACCACAUAGCGUACAGUCAACGUGAAGUGUAGACAGACUAGGGUACAGUAACAGGUAUGUUUCUUUAGAGUUAAACAUGAGUUGCAAGUUUAUAUUUUGAUGCACAAUGUUUUUAAAAUUAAAUUGAAAGUUGAUCUGCCAAAUGAGAAUAUUAAAAUUGAUUACAAAAAUAGAGCAGUCUAAAAAGUAAUGCUUUGGAAGAGAAUUUUGUGAAAUAUGUACUCUGUUUUAUUAAAGACAUGAGGGAGAUACUGAAAUUUUUAGCAAAACCAGUCAUCAUUCAAUCUUAUUAAUGAGUGCAUCUAUUCAAUUUUUUUAUCUUUUAUUCUAUUGAUAAUAUGGUUGUUCUUUUUUGAUGCAUUCUGAACUCUGUAAAACUUUAGGGUUAGAAUGUGUUUAUUUGUACAUAGGUAUGUAUGGUGUGUUUCUUUAGAAGAUGUUGACCUUUUACAGUAUAAUAAUUUUCUAACUACAGGUACUGGUUUUGUAUUGUGUUGAUAUUGUUUACAUUUAUCCCUGUAAAGUUUUACAUCAGAUAACAAUCAAAAGCCAACUUAAAAAAAAACUUUUUUUGGUCUAAACAAGUUUCCUAAGACAUACAAAUAGAUUUUUACUUAAUUUGGCAAAAUUAUUACAUUUUAAAGUAAUAUGUAAUAAUUUAUUUUAAACUAAGAUCCAAAAUUUAAUAAUGGUCAAUUAUUUUCUGAUUGCAUAGCUGUUUCCAUAUAUAAUUUACUGGCUUUUGUUAAGUAUGAAAUUUUGUCAGAAAAAUUAUUGACUUGAUAAAUGAAUUUGUUUUAAGCAAAUAUCAUCUCUAAGGAAAAUAAAUUAAUGAAGGAAUAAUUGUUUGUAACUAUGUAAUAGGAAAAAUUGUAGUUAAAUGAAUACAUGAAUAUAGAUUACCUUGAAAUUAAGAUUACAAUCUUACCAGUUACUGGACCUGUGUGAAGCUUCGACUAAGUGAAUCAAAUCGAAGCUAUUUUUAAUAUUUUAAAUUUGACUUCUGUAGAAAGUUUUAAUUUUAUUUGAAGCUUCAAAUGUAAUGCGCAGCAUUGCGUCAGAUGUGCAACUUUGUUUGUAGUGAAUCAUAAAAACACUGGAAGCCUAAGUUUAAUUGCUUCUCAGUUAUAAGCCAAAAUUUCUAGUUUCGAAAUUGUGCGUUUUAAUUUCACAAUAACAGAUGAUCAUAACUAAAAUGAAGAGUUAGGUUGGUACAUCAAUCCCUCACUUAGCACGACUAAUGCGGUCCUAAAAAUGUUCGUGCUAUCCAAAAUCUCAUAUUCCGAAGCGUUGCUCUCCAUAUAUAGCAAGGCUAAUUUACUUCAUGUGUUUCAAAAUGUGUAGGGAAACAUUCUUCACAAAAUAUAAAUGCAUAGAAUAACAUUCAACUAUAAAUAUGUAACACCAUUUAUCUUCAUAAGCCUACCAUCGAAUACUUUGUAUGUUAAAUACGACAUUGAAUAACGGUACUUAUCCUCGGUCAACUGUUAAACUUGCCUGCCCGGACGUGACCUUCAACUCACGUCACAUACCUUUCCAUACCAUCAUUAACUGGCAGUGAAACCAAUAUUACUGUCCGGAUAUUUACAUUUUAAUGUAUCAUCGCAAGGUUCACACCAAUCCUUUCAGACCAGUGAUUUUUUUUUUCAUUGCACCAUUCAUUUAACUACCUUUAAGUGUGGCCUUCCUGACAUUCUGCAUGCCGUAAUACUUCUAGCUUUGAUUCAAUUUUAUUCAUAAAAGUAUGCAAUCAAUUCAUCAAUGUUUUGUUAUGACGUUUUCACGUUAAACUAUCGUCCGUAAACCGACUUUACAGACAACCAAUUUUUUUAUAAAUACAGAUUUACGCUCCAGAUCUAUCCCACAGGAACCAUACUUUUUUUUUUCCGGGAUGAAAAGGAGCAUUUGUCCCUCUCCGGCUCAUAAAAUAUCUCUAUGCAAACAAUUAAUGUCAAUCUCAAAUACUUGAACACGAUGCAUUACACUCUCACUUGGAAGCCAUUAUUCCAAUAUGAUUCUAACUGCAGGUGCUUGCUGCACAUACAUUUACCGUCAAACAGAUAGGAAGACGUUGCUUUGUGUUUGUGCAUGCGAGUUCCCUGCCACUGGCUAGAUUGAAGUUCGUCAUGGCCCUGUCUGGCCGGGCGACAGCGGUACGGCAUGGUGGCAUACGCGGACCUAAAAAUAACAUUUGGUCCUUUACAAUCCAUGCCGCAACUUAACUUGCCACGGCUGAUGUUUGUACAACAGCCGAUAGUGUAGUCACCUGCGCACGCAUCUCUUCCUCCCUUGUAUGACUAACUGUAUACCACGGUACAACUGUUGUUUACAGAAGUUGAAGCAGACUUCUUGGUGUCAUGCCCGACUUUUUUCUUUGCCUGUGGCGUUUUCAUGCUAACUGAAAUUUACAGACGUGCUAUUCAAGACUGGGGCAGUAAAAUUAACAUUGUGCUAAAUGAAUUCGUGCAUUUUGAAGCCAUACUAAGUGAGGGAUUGGUGUAUGAUCAACCAAAAUAAUAUGAAGAAACCACCUUUUUAUGUUUUCCAGAAAUUUGUGUAGUUUUAUGAAGGUAUAUUUUAUUUUACAUUUAAAUCAAUGCAUUCAUGACUACACUUCACAGGAAAAAUGUUUUACAUUGAUUAACACAAAUUUAGGAUAUCUCAAGUGUAAUUCUUUUCAUUUCUUUCUUUAGAGUGCUAAUUGAUAGUAUCAAAGUGUGCUCUUUGAGCUUUGUGUAACAAGAAAAUGUUUUAUAGUAUUUAUUUUAGAAAUGGGAUAGCUUUUGUUUAUUAAAAAUGUUAAUACAAACUUUACAAUAGAUUUUAUGAUAUUAUUUAGUACUUAUUGAUACAUUUUGAAUUGCUUAGGUAUUGUUAAUGGAUAGUUUUGGGAUAGAAAAUAUUAAAAAUAUAAUUUUUGUGUAUGAUAUGUUUUGAGUGAAUAAAGUUAGUUAGUUGAAAAAAUAGUUGGCACAUAAAUCUGCUUUUAUUAAUGCACAACAUUAAUUGUAUGCAUGGUUAUUUUAUGAGUAUAAUCAUUAAAAUAUUCACAAUUCAAUUUUACUUUGGAAGUAUUUUAAACAUUGUGUGUUAAUUGCUCUGCGUAAAAGAAAUGGAUUUAUGCAUACUUGUUAAUAGAUUUUCUUUCAGUAUGUUAUGUCAUGGGAGAAUAUUUUGCAAAGAAGCAUGUUAAAAGCAAGCAUUCAGUUGAAAGAGCACCAAAAUUCAAAGUAUGUAGUUGCGUGAAUCUCAUGUAAGUGGCUUGUAAGCUCAUUGUUAUUGUCUAUCCAAUGAAUGAGUGAACUUUUUUUGUUGUCAGAUUUAAGCGAGACCUUAAGAUUAAGCUGUUUCCACACUAAUUAUUCCAUGAAAUAAAUUAAGUACUCUGGUUUUCAAAGAACUAGGCUAUUCAAUCAUUAUAUUUUUCACAGAAAUGGAAAUAUACACAUCUGUCUAACUUCAAAUGAUAAAGUAACCUUUCAGAAAAGUGAACUCAUUCAUGGGAUAUACUUUUAUUAUGUUUGUGUUCAAUAUUCUAUGUAUAUCCUUCAUGCCGUACGUACCUGAAAAUAAUGCUAUGAUUUUCCCAAAAUUGCUGAAACUAAAAGCGAGGGUCUAAUUAUAAUUGCAACUUGUAUCUUGUUGCUGGGAGAACGUGAAUUAAAAGUGACUGGAACCACUUAGUUCAAAAACUACAUGCACUGCAUCACUGAAGACACUUCUCACUGCUGUCUCUGAACCUCCGCUUAGUUAAAAAAAAACUACCCAAUUUGCCGUUGAGUGUGACAGGAAAAUUCUUUGGAAACUUGAUGGGGUGAGGGAGUCCAAAUGGAGUUUGUUACUGGCAUACUGGCUGUUAGCCAAGGCACUCCCCCUCUUUUUUUUUAUUAUUCCCACCCUUCCAGGCAGACCAUCAUACAUUGCAGCAUUCUUUGUUUUCCAACCAAUGGCUUUCGAACUAAAGCUAUAAAACUUUUUUUUCUAAUUGCUGCUUUCUGUUUUUAAAAAGGCUACCAUGUUUUAUCGCACCGAUAUUUUAGGGCGUUAAAAUUUGGAUAAGAAAACCUCCUGUGAUCAUUCCAUGAUAUUUUUGGUCCCAUAAUUAAAUUCCUAUCCCUUUGUGUUGGUUUUUUUUUCCGUAUAAAACGAUGUAUUUUAAAGAAGAAUCUAAUAUUUAUUCGGACAUUACCACUUAUUUAAUUAAUGGAAAUACGAAGUUGUCUGAUGUGUAAAUUUUCUUUUUUAGACUUUUUUAACGUUAUAACCUUUAUCUGUUUUUUUUUUUUGCUUCGCCGCGGUGUACCGCUUAUAUAAAUGUAGCCAGCGCUAGUUGGAAUCAUUCAGGUUUGGUUAUGUUGCUUCCCGUAUAGAGCGUGUACAAGUAGUCUAAUAUUAUCUGUCUGAUUGCAUGCAACACGUGCUCUCUGUCGAGUGCCGAGUUAACUACAUUUGAUGGCCCGCACUCUUUAGUGGUUUUUACUACGUCAAUAGUUACACGUUAGUUCAGGCUUGCAUUCGGGUUACGGAUUUUGUUUAAUUUAAAGUUGAAGAAAGGUUUUUGUUGCAUGACUUGUUAAUUUAAAUUGAUUGGCGUGCUUUUGCAUACUCUACUUUUUAAAUACAUACUUUCCAUGAAUGGGUUUUGUUUAUAUGAAUAACUUUACCUAACAAAAACAUUUUUUGUCAUGAUAGUCUCACCCCUACUUUUCAAAUUUGAUUUUAGUAUUAAAUGUGCAACGAUUAUGCGAUAAAACACGGUAUCAUCUGGUGAAAGUAGCACCACAAAAGUGUUUUAGUUAUGCUUAAUUUCUGUGUUUAAAUUGUGAUUUUCACUUAAUAAAAUUUUUCAUAGACUCAGUUUGGGGUCGUAUAAUUUUUGGGUAAAUACGGUAAAUGUACACAACUGUAUUGACACAGAUUUCACUGUGUACAUAGUUUUGCACUGCAGCCAAGUCCAUGACUAUUUUAAAAUUCUGUGUAGUAGUGUUAAAAAAGAGUUGUUAUAAAAAAAGUUGUGUUGGUACAAUAAAUACUGGCUUAUCAAA